CCUACGGGUGGCAGCAGUGAGGAAUAUUGGUCAAUGGACGAGAGUCUGAACCCGCCAAGUCGCGUGAAGGAUGACUGCCCUCUGGGUUGUAAACUUCUUUUAUAUGGGAAUAAAAUGUUCAACGUGUGGGAUUUUGUAUGUACCAUAUGAUUAAGGAUCGGCUCACUCCGUGCCAGCAGCCGCGGUAAUACGGAGGAUCCGAGCGUUAGCCGGAUUUAUUGGGUUUAAAGGGAGCGUAGGUGGAUUGUUAAGUCAGUUGUGAAAGAUUGCGGCUCAACCUUAAAAUUGCAGUUGAAACUGGCAGUCUUGAGUACAGUAGAGGUGUGCAGAAUUCGUGGUGUAGCGGUGAAAUGCUUAGAUAUCACGAAGAACUCCGAUUGCGAAGGCAGCUCACUGGACUGCAACUGACACUGAGGCUCGAAAGUGUGGGUAUCAAACAGGAUUAGAUACCCGGGUAGUC
Molecule: ribosomal RNA, 460 nt
Filed under: uncultured bacterium
Lineage: Bacteria
Description: partial 16S ribosomal RNA
Rfam family: Bacterial small subunit ribosomal RNA
Source: RNAcentral